UGGGGAAUAUUGCGCAAUGGGGGGAACCCUGACGCAGCCAUGCCGCGUGAAUGAAGAAGGCCUUAGGGUUGUAAAGUUCUUUCGGUAUUGAGGAAGGUUGAUGUGUUAAUAGCACAUCAAAUUGACGUUAAAUACAGAAGAAGCACCGGCUAACUCCGUGCCACCAGCCGCGGUAAUACGGAGGGUGCGAGCGUUAAUCGGAAUAACUGGGCGUAAAGGGCACGCAGGCGGUUAUUUAAGUGAGGUGUGAAAGCCCCGGGCUUAACCUGGGAAUUGCAUUUCAGACUGGGUAACUAGAGUACUUUAGGGAGGGGUAGAAUUCCACGUGUAGCGGUGAAAUGCGUAGAGAUGUGGAGGAAUACCGAAGGCGAAGGCAGCCCCUUGGGAUGUACUGACGCUCAUGUGCGAAAGCGUGGGUAGCAAACAGGANUANAUACCCUGGUAGUCCACGCUGUAAACGCUGUCGAUUUGGGGGUUGGGGUUUAACUCUGGCGCCCGUAGCUANNNCNUAGCUAACGUGAUAAAUCGACCGCCUGGGGAGUACGGCNCAAGNUA
Molecule: ribosomal RNA, 555 nt
Filed under: uncultured bacterium
Lineage: Bacteria
Description: bacterial SSU rRNA
Rfam family: Bacterial small subunit ribosomal RNA
Source: RNAcentral